UACGGAGGGUGCAAGCGUUAUCCGGAUUCACUGGGUUUAAAGGGUGCGUAGGUGGGCAGGUAAGUCAGUGGUGAAAUCUCCGGGCUUAACCCGGAAACUGCCAUUGAUACUAUCUGUCUUGAAUACCCUGGAGGUGAGCGGAAUAUGUCAUGUAGCGGUGAAAUGCUUAGAUAUGACAUAGAACACCCAUUGCGAAGGCAGCUCACUACGGGAAUAUUGACACUGAGGCACGAAAGCGUGGGGAUCAAACAGGAUUAGAUACCCCAGUAGUCC
This 273-nucleotide ribosomal RNA is filed under the name uncultured bacterium. RNAcentral describes it as "partial 16S ribosomal RNA". It matches the Rfam family "Bacterial small subunit ribosomal RNA", at positions 524 to 796 of the family's 1533-position model. The record is from RNAcentral.